This 416-nucleotide ribosomal RNA is filed under the name uncultured microorganism. RNAcentral's name for it is "bacterial SSU rRNA". It matches the Rfam family "Bacterial small subunit ribosomal RNA", at positions 9 to 424 of the family's 1533-position model. The record is from RNAcentral.
GAGUUUGAUCGUGGCUCAGAUUGAACGCUGGCGGCAUGCCUUACACAUGCAAGUCGAACGGCAGCAUGAUCUAGCUUGCUAGAUUGAUGGCGAGUGGCGAACGGGUGAGUAAUACAUCGGAACGUGCCCUGUAGUGGGGAUAACUAGUCGAAAGAUUAGCUAAUACCGCAUACGACCUGAGGGUGAAAGUGGGGGACCGCAAGGCCUCAUGCUAUAGGAGCGGCCGAUGUCUGAUUAGCUAGUUGGUGGGGUAAAGGCCCACCAAGGCGACGAUCAGUAGCUGGUCUGAGAGGACGAUCAGCCACACUGGGACUGAGACACGGCCCAGACUCCUACGGGAGGCAGCAGUGGGGAAUUUUGGACAAUGGGCGAAAGCCUGAUCCAGCAAUGCCGCGUGUGUGAAGAAGGCCUCGGUU